AGAUAGAUAUUGCUGUGUAGCUAAUGUUACAGUCAGUUCACUAACUUUAUAAGUCUCCUGCUUAUUAUGUUGUUUGUCUUGUAGCCACAGAUUAAAAACUAAUACUGCAAGCAGGUAUGA
Molecule: long non-coding RNA, 120 nt
Organism: Etheostoma spectabile (orangethroat darter)
Lineage: Eukaryota; Metazoa; Chordata; Actinopteri; Perciformes; Percidae
Exons: 3
Source: RefSeq, a predicted model, not a curated record